GGGGCACAGACUUUCAGGUUCCCAAACUUUGUUGGAAGAAGUGAAAAGAAGUUUAGGGCAGGCUGAUUAUGUGCUCCACUUUUCUGCCUUUGAAUGGCAAAGCACAGAACAGAGCUUUGAACAUUUGAACAGACACAUGGCUCUAACUUGUGACAUGGCAGAAGAUUCUGAUGAGGUCAGAGCUUUGCAACAGUGGUGAUUGUGUGGAAAAGCUCUGUCCAGCUUUGAGAGGCUCAAGAGGGACCUCACAUUUCUCAUCGCUUGAGUUCUCAUCCAUCACUCCGUCAAGUCCCAGGUCAUAGAGGUUAUUCCCUCUUCUGGGUCAUGAUGAGGCUACACUCAACACUGGGCACUUGGCUCUUCACACUCCUAGUGAUGCCAGUCUACUGCCAGAGUGGUGAUGAUGGAGAGUGGGGAUCAGGUGACGUCUCCGGGCCUGUGGUCACUGGCAACUCCUCUGCUUCAGUUUUCCAUGCAGCCGGGGAUGAGCCAGACAGAACCAGCCCACUUUUUCAAACCCUGCCAGAUAUGGAAGGUGGCGACUGUUAUGUUAACUUCCACACCAGCCAAGUCAUGUCAAGGCGGUUACGAGCUUUCAGAGAGGAAGUUACUUAUCUAAAGGCUCUUCAACAUGGGAACCAGGCAGUGAUGGAGAAUCUGAUCCAGUUUGUAGGAGCAGAAAUGGGAGAUCAACGCUAUGAGGAGGUGAUCCAAGAGAACAUUGUUGGAAUCAGGGAGGAACAUGUGAGCUGUGAGAGUGUGGUGACAAAAGCAACAGAGGAGAUGGAGAAUCAGCUGCAGGGAGACACACAAGACACUUCGGCUGGAAUUCAGAAGAUAAAAGAGGAGUCCCUUGCCUUUGAAGAAAUGCUGCGUACCGCGUCAGCCAUCGCCACUCGACUGGAGAGUUCCUCAAGAGCCCUGCACGUGGAGAUGAUCGAACAGCUGAGGAAGAACACGAGACAGCCGCGCUAAACUAAAUGACCCAGUGGGAAGCCGUCCAACCUGGAAAAAUAGCUAAAGUGUCACUUCUAUAUUUAUCCACAAUAUUUUAAUAACAGUGAUACCAUGUCAUCACUUUAAACAGUCUAUAUGUGUUAUCUCCUGUCCUUACACAGUUUUUAUGAAAUGGCAUUAUUGUCAGAGGACUGAAACUAUAUUUUUCCUCUCUUGUCCGAUGUUCAUUUGUGAGCCAUAAUGAAAACAUAAUGGCUUUGUGUACAAGGAAAUUGAAAAAAUGAUCUUGGCAGUGAGGUGACAUCUUAAAAGAAUAUUUUCUUUUCAAGUACAGACAACCCUGCAGCUAUGGUCUGGCUGUCUUGGCGCUAGGGAGCAGAUGGUGAAAAGACUGUAUGAGGGUCUGGAAAACAACAAGCAUGAACUCAUAUACAUUGGAAAGAGAAAGCAAGGCGGAGAAAGAAAAAGGGGAAAAAAGAUAUGGCAAUGAUGUCACAGAGGAAUAAAUGAAAACAUGACUUGGCAGCCUAGAGCCAGAAUCUAAAGAAACAGAUGAAGAAAGCAUCAUAAAUCUUUGCAACCGAAGAAUGUUAAUGUUCAGUGUAUUCCUCUAAUAGUCAGUUGUGGUCACUUUUGCUGUAUGUGUAUUUUGACGCAAUUCUGAGUAUAUGCUAGUGUUUAUAUGUUCAGAUAGAGCCUGUGUGAAUUAAUGAAUUUCAGUGACAUGAAAUAUAUAAAUAUCAAAACUUUUAUACUUAAAAA
This is a long non-coding RNA of Ctenopharyngodon idella (grass carp), 1719 nucleotides long. RefSeq lists it as uncharacterized. The record is from RefSeq and is a predicted model, not a curated record. The transcript is spliced from 3 exons. NCBI's taxonomy places the organism in Eukaryota, Metazoa, Chordata, Actinopteri, Cypriniformes, Xenocyprididae.